AGGUGUCAUGUCCCCUGCAAUUGGAGUUACCGACAGCCAUGAGCUACCAUGUGGGUGUUGGGAAUUGAACCCAGGUCCUGUGGAAGAGCAGCCAGUGCUUUUAACUGCUGAGCCAUCUCUCCAUCCCUCCUGAUCUCACUACUUAUAGACUUCAUCAUGCUGUUUGGUGCUUUCAUCCUUCUUUUACUUCCUCAGAUACUCAUUUUAGCCUGAUAAAAUUACAGAAGGCAAGAACCUUCAUCUGGCGAUGGAUCGAGAAAGAGACACA
Molecule: long non-coding RNA, 268 nt
Organism: Microtus oregoni (creeping vole)
Lineage: Eukaryota; Metazoa; Chordata; Mammalia; Rodentia; Cricetidae
Exons: 3
Source: RefSeq, a predicted model, not a curated record